Amphimedon queenslandica is the source of this 246-nucleotide long non-coding RNA. RefSeq lists it as uncharacterized. The record is from RefSeq and is a predicted model, not a curated record. The transcript has 3 exons. Lineage: Eukaryota; Metazoa; Porifera; Demospongiae; Haplosclerida; Niphatidae.
CUACCGCGUUACUAAUAAUGUCUUGACUUUUCCCCAAAAUUUACUAUUUGUAAUAAUGGUCAUAACUCAAUUGUUUUUAGUGGUGAUUAUGCUGGGGCUCUAGUAAAUUAUGAGAAAGGCAUUACAAAUGAUCCAAAGACUACAGCUCAUGAUGACUUGUGUGUGGCUGGAAUGGCAAGAACAUCACUUUAUACUGGUGACAUGAGAAGGGGAUUAAAAUUAGCUCAUGCUAGUCCUGAUAAACAA